AUGGAUUCUACCCCGAGGACCUCGCCGCGCUCGGGUUCCGCGACGCCAGCCGCGUGACGGAGGCGGACACGCGCUUCCGGGGCUGGCUGGUCCGGAGGGUCUGCGGAUUCCUGGCAGCCUGGGAGUGGAAAAUUCCAGCAGAGAGCCCCGAGGAGCUCCUGGUGCGGAUCUGCAGCAGCAGGAGGGUGCAGGAUGCUGCCUCCGGCCGGGAGCCUGGCCCCGGAGGGGAUGAGGGAUCCCAGCGGCGCUGGAAGGAGUCGAUCUGCCAGAUCCUGGGGGAAAUCCAGGCCCCGCUCUCCCCUCUGCUGCUGAGGUGGCGAAUCUUCCCGGGAGAUACUCUGGGGGAUGGAUAC
RNAcentral lists this long non-coding RNA (353 nucleotides) under Chloebia gouldiae (Gouldian finch). Its description in RNAcentral is "Erythrura gouldiae (Gouldian finch) lncRNA (ENSEGOG00005017680.1)". Lineage: Eukaryota; Metazoa; Chordata; Aves; Passeriformes; Passeridae. The record is from RNAcentral.